CUUGGCGUAAUAGACUAUUCGCUGAGGAAUUCUAGUCUUCGGAUUAGAGCCGGGUUGGGUUAAAGGAAGCUUCUAAUCAGAAUGUCUACAUUUUAAGAUUAGAUCUCAAAUCAGGUAGGACUACCCGCUGAACUUAAGCAUAUCAAUAAGCGGAGGAAAAGAAACUAACAAGGAUUCCCCUAGUAGCGGCGAGCGAAGCGGGAAGAGCUCAAAUUUAUAAUCUGGCACCUUCGGUGUCCGAGUUGUAAUCUCUAGAAAUGUUUUCCGCGUUGGACCGCACACAAGUCUGUUGGAAAACAGCGGCAUAGUGGUGAGACCCCCGUAUAUGGUGCGGACGCCCAGCGCUUUGUGAUACAUUUUCGAAGAGUCGAGUUGUUUGGGAAUGCAGCUCAAAUUGGGUGGUAAAUUCCAUCUAAAGCUAAAUAUUGGCGAGAGACCGAUAGCGAACAAGUACCGUGAGGGAAAGAUGAAAAGCACUUUGGAAAGAGAGUUAACAGUACGUGAAAUUGUUGGAAGGGAAACGCUUGAAGUCAGACUUGCUUGCUGAGCAAUCGGUUUGCAGGCCAGCAUCAGUUUUCCGGGAUGGAUAAUGGUAGAGAGAAGGUAGCAGUUUCGGCUGUGUUAUAGCUCUCUGCUGGAUACAUCUUGGGGGACUGAGGAACGCAGUGUGCCUUUGGCGGGGGUUUCGACCUCU
RNAcentral lists this ribosomal RNA (694 nucleotides) under Rhodotorula mucilaginosa. RNAcentral's name for it is "eukaryotic LSU rRNA". The stretch from base 101 to 694 matches the Rfam family "Eukaryotic large subunit ribosomal RNA", at positions 1 to 610 of the family's 3401-position model. The record is from RNAcentral. Lineage: Eukaryota; Fungi; Basidiomycota; Microbotryomycetes; Sporidiobolales; Sporidiobolaceae.